AUUGAACGCUGGCGGCAUGCCUUACACAUGCAAGUCGAACGGCAGCAUGGAGAGCUUGCUCUCUGAUGGCGAGUGGCGAACGGGUGAGUAAUGCAUCGGAACGUACCGUGUAAUGGGGGAUAACGUAGCGAAAGUUACGCUAAUACCGCAUACGACCUGAGGGUGAAAGCAGGGGAUCGCAAGACCUUGCGUUAUACGAGCGGCCGAUGUCAGAUUAGCUAGUUGGUGAGGUAAAGGCUCACCAAGGCGACGAUCUGUAGCGGGUCUGAGAGGAUGAUCCGCCAGACUGGGACUGAGACACGGCCCAGACUCCUACGGGAGGAAGCAGUGGGGAAUUUUGGACAAUGGGGGCAACCCUGAUCCAGCCAUGCCGCGUGAGUGAAGAAGGCCUUCGGGUUGUAAAGCUCUUUCGGCCGGGAAGAAAUCGCACAGGCUAAUACUCUGUGUGGAUGACGGUACCGGCAUAAGAAGCACCAGCUAACUACGUGCCAGCAGCCGCCGUAA
RNAcentral lists this ribosomal RNA (504 nucleotides) under uncultured bacterium. RNAcentral's name for it is "partial 16S ribosomal RNA". It matches the Rfam family "Bacterial small subunit ribosomal RNA", at positions 30 to 523 of the family's 1533-position model. The record is from RNAcentral.